AAAAAAGGUCCUAAAAAGAGAUGAUAUGCUAAAAAUCCCAUAAAGUCGUUAUGGAAUAAGAUUCAUUGGUGUUAAAUUAUAUAUAUCGGGUAUGCAUGCUAGUUGAUUUUCAAACAUUUUAAGCAAAUUAGACGUAAUAUAUCUACUUUUUCAAAAUAUUUAACCGAAAGUAAUGGUUAAGGCUCGAUAAAAACAUAUUACAUUCAAUUGUCUUUGUUUUUUG
Molecule: non-coding RNA, 223 nt
Organism: Cinara cedri
Lineage: Eukaryota; Metazoa; Arthropoda; Insecta; Hemiptera; Aphididae
Source: the annotation of a GenBank genome assembly